ACGAACGCUGGCGGCGUGCUUAACACAUGCAAGUCGAACGGAAAGGCCCUGCUUGCAGGGUACUCGAGUGGCGAACGGGUGAGUAACACGUGGGUGAUCUGCCCUGCACUUCGGGAUAAGCUUGGGAAACUGGGUCUAAUACCGGAUAGGAGCCAUCUUUAGUGUGGUGGUUGGAAAGUUUUUUCGGUGUAGGAUGAGCUCGCGGCCUAUCAGCUUGUUGGUGGGGUAAUGGCCUACCAAGGCGGCGACGGGUAGCCGGCCUGAGAGGGUGUACGGCCACAUUGGGACUGAGAUACGGCCCAGACUCCUACGGGAGGCAGCAAUGGGGAAUAUUGCACAAUGGGCGCAAGCCUGAUGCAGCGACGCCGCGUGGGGGAUGAAGGCCUUCGGGUUGUAAACUCCUUUCGCUAGGGACGAAGCUUUUUUGUGACGGUACCUAGAUAAGAAGCACCGGCUAACUACGUG
This 465-nucleotide ribosomal RNA is filed under the name uncultured bacterium. Its description in RNAcentral is "partial 16S ribosomal RNA". It matches the Rfam family "Bacterial small subunit ribosomal RNA", at positions 29 to 507 of the family's 1533-position model. The record is from RNAcentral.